RNAcentral lists this ribosomal RNA (438 nucleotides) under uncultured soil bacterium. RNAcentral's name for it is "bacterial SSU rRNA". It matches the Rfam family "Bacterial small subunit ribosomal RNA", at positions 26 to 448 of the family's 1533-position model. The record is from RNAcentral.
AGGAUGAACGCUGGCGGCGUGCUUAACACAUGCAAGUCGAACGAUGAUCUCCAGCUUGCUGGGGGGAUUAGUGGCGAACGGGUGAGUAACACGUGAGUAACCUGCCCUUGACUCUGGGAUAAGCCUGGGAAACUGGGUCUAAUACUGGAUACGACUGACUAUCGCAUGGUGGUUGGUGGAAAGCUUUUGUGGUUUUGGAUGGACUCGCGGCCUAUCAGCUUGUUGGUGGGUAAUGGCCUACCAAGGCGACGACGGGUAGCCGGCCUGAGAGGGUGGACGGCCACACUGGGAACUGAGACACGGCCCAGACUCCGUACGGGAGGCCAGCAGGUGGGGAAUAGUUGACAGAAUGGGCGACAAGCCUGAUGACAGCGACGCCGCGUGGACGGGAUAGGAACGGCCGUUUACGGUUACGUAAACCUCUUUACGAGGUAAGGA